CGUAGGUAGAACUCUCCAUUUUCAUUUCCAGAUUUAAUCCGAAAAGUAUUGAUGGUGUUGGCAUAAAUAGUUGUGGCCUGUAUCUGGAAGAUGUCUGAUGGCACAGACCUAUCAGAUCGGAUGCUCAUGUAUUUGUAGACUAUUGACUGGGGCAGUUCUCGGCACAUGGCAUUUGAGACUGGGCAAACACAUCGGCUGCAGAGACAAACAAAAGUAUUCAGCAGUUUGGCUUGGUAAGACCAGAAAAUCCUCACUUUCAAAAGUUCUGAUUUUUCUUACUUCUCUGGUGUUAGAAUGUAGGGAUCUUGACAAGGAUUUCGUGGAUAACAACGGAAGCCGCCAUGAUAAUUCCAACACAUUUCAUCCUCCCGGCAUUCAUUUGUGGUCUCACACUCAUUUAUAUCUGUAGAGAUGUAGGGUCAAAG
Molecule: long non-coding RNA, 425 nt
Filed under: Homo sapiens (human)
Lineage: Eukaryota; Metazoa; Chordata; Mammalia; Primates; Hominidae
Description: HSALNT0302590
Source: RNAcentral